CCUACGGGUGGCAGCAGUGGGGAAUAUUGGGCAAUGGGCGCAAGCCUGACCCAGCAACGCCGCGUGAAGGAAGAAGGCUUUCGGGUUGUAAACUUCUUUUAAGAGGGAAGAGCAGAAGACGGUACCUCUUGAAUAAGCCACGGCUAACUACGUGCCAGCAGCCGCGGCAAUACGUAGGUGGCAAGCGUUGUCCGGAUUUACUGGGUGUAAAGGGCGUGCAGCGGGGAAGACAAGUCAGUUGUGAAAGCCCGCGGCUCAACCGCGGAACUGCAUUUGAAACUGUUUUUCUUGAGUACAGGAGAGGUCAUCGGAAUUCGUGGUGUAGCGGUGAAAUGCGUAGAUAUAAGGAAGAACACCAGUUGCGAAGGCAGAUGACUGGACGGCAACUGACGGUGAGGCGCGAAAGCGUGGGGAGCAAACAGGAUUAGAUACCCUAGUAGUC
This 442-nucleotide ribosomal RNA is filed under the name uncultured bacterium. Its description in RNAcentral is "partial 16S ribosomal RNA". It matches the Rfam family "Bacterial small subunit ribosomal RNA", at positions 338 to 795 of the family's 1533-position model. The record is from RNAcentral.